This is a long non-coding RNA of Prionailurus viverrinus (fishing cat), 817 nucleotides long. RefSeq lists it as uncharacterized. The record is from RefSeq and is a predicted model, not a curated record. NCBI's taxonomy places the organism in Eukaryota, Metazoa, Chordata, Mammalia, Carnivora, Felidae. The transcript has 3 exons.
AAGAAAUUGAUGGUGAGGCGUUUAGGGACCAAAACAACGAUAAGACUUGUCAUUUGCUGAGUCUUAGCUUUGUGCCCAUUCCAUCCUCAGUGAGCAGCCUGCAUUACCGCCUCUAAUCGAUCCCCUGAGAGAUGCUCCUCCUGGGGCUGACGGAACACUGGUAAAAGAUACUGCAGAAGGGAUUCCCAGAGAAGGUGGGGAUGCCACUCAACAUCCUUCCCAACUCAACACAUGGUUGUCACGGGGAGGUAACGCACGUGGCGCUCAGUGCAGCACCAGGUGGUACGGCAUCAGCAGCUGUUGCCACAACGGUUGCCACAGCAGCUGCUGUCCAUUUCAGGGCAGAAGGGACUUUGAAGAAAAGCUAAGUGGUCAUAGAAGAGGUAACACGGUCAUAUUUGGAGAGGGCUUUACAGCUGAUUUUCACGAACAUCAUUUCCUGACGCGCUGAGUGAAUGCCAGUGGUAAGUAAUAGUGCAUUAUUGUUCAGUCCUUACGUGCGGCUCAUUCGACUUGUCUCGUAUAAUCCUUGUAACAACUCUACGAAGUUGAUGCAGUUCUUAUACCCAUUUUACAGAUGAGGAAACUAGGGGGUGGAGAGGUUCAAGGUCACAUAGAUACUAAGUGGAUGAGCUGGGAUUUAAAAUCUGGCCAUCUGACUCUGCCCCAAAGGCUUAAAAGGACACCAAAUCACCUUGAGAAAAGUGCCCUAGCAGGUGAGGAGAGGGAAGCCCACUCCAAAGAGGCCUGGUCUAACAAAGAGUGUGCGAAGGAGGGAUCUGAGGUGGGUCUCAAAGGAUGUGGAGAGGUGAAGAGA